AAAAAAGCAAACUGUGGAUUUCCGUGUCAACGUUUGACUGUUCGUCUUAUAUAAAAUUUUUUUAUAAUUAGUAUUUUUAUUGUUGUUAGAUGAUAAAACAUGAUUAAUACUUUAUACAUGACUUAUCUUUUUAAUUUUUUUUUUAUUUUUUCAAAUAAGACGGACGGUCAAACGUUGGACACGGAAAUCAGAGUUUGUCUUUUU
Oryza glumipatula is the source of this 204-nucleotide non-coding RNA. The record is from Rfam. NCBI's taxonomy places the organism in Eukaryota, Viridiplantae, Streptophyta, Magnoliopsida, Poales, Poaceae.